UGGGGAAUUUUGGACAAUGGGCGCAAGCCUGAUCCAGCCAUGCCGCGUGCGGGAAGAAGGCCUUCGGGUUGUAAACCGCUUUUGUCAGGGAAGAAAUCUUCUGAGUUAAUACCUCGGGAGGAUGACGGUACCUGAAGAAUAAGCACCGGCUAACUACGUGCCAGCAGCCGCGGUAAAUACGUAGGGUGCAAGCGUUAAUCGGAAUUACUGGGCGUAAAGCGUGCGCAGGCGGUUUUGUAAGACAGAGGUGAAAUCCCCGGGCUCAACCUGGGAACUGCCUUUGUGACUGCAAGGCUUGAGUGCGGCAGAGGGGGAUGGAAUUCCGCGUGUAGCAGUGAAAUGCGUAGAUAUGCGGAGGAACACCGAUGGCGAAGGCAAUCCCCUGGGCCUGCACUGACGCUCAUGCACGAAAGCGUGGGGAGCAAACAGGAUUAGAUAGCCCUGGUAGUCCACGCCCUAAACGAUGUCAACUGGUUGUUGGGAAGGUUCCUUCUCAGUAACGUAGCUAACGCGUGAANUUGACCGCCUGGGGAGUACGGCCGCAAGGUUGAAA
Molecule: ribosomal RNA, 553 nt
Filed under: uncultured bacterium
Lineage: Bacteria
Description: partial 16S ribosomal RNA
Rfam family: Bacterial small subunit ribosomal RNA
Source: RNAcentral